RNAcentral lists this ribosomal RNA (254 nucleotides) under uncultured bacterium. RNAcentral's name for it is "partial 16S ribosomal RNA". It matches the Rfam family "Bacterial small subunit ribosomal RNA", at positions 524 to 776 of the family's 1533-position model. The record is from RNAcentral.
UACGAAGGGGGCUAGCGUUGUUCGGAAUUACUGGGCGUAAAGCGCGUGUAGGCGGCUAUGCAAGUCGGAUGUGAAAGCCCUCGGCUCAACCGGGGAAGUGCACCCGAAACUGCAAAGCUAGAGUCUCGGAGAGGAUCGUGGAAUUCUCGGUGUAGAGGUGAAAUUCGUAGAUAUCGAGAGGAACACCGGUGGCGAAGGCGGCGAUCUGGUCCGUGACUGACGCUGAGGCGCGAAAAGCGUGGGGAGCAAACAGG